UGAUCGAUUGCCCAUUGACAUACUUAUUACAAAUGAGGUACAACUAAUAAUAAAAACUUUUCAUAUAAAAUUAUAGAUCAUUGUAGACCAGUAUAUGGCAACAAACAGUAGCCGUUUAAGAAUUAAUGUUUCUUCUUCUUAAUCAGAAUCCAUUUUUUUUCUCGACAAAAAUAGGUAGUACCUACACGUCCUUUAAACAGCCCGGUCGGACGAAAACUGAAGGGCCGGAGUGACGCCAGUCAAUGGGCAAAUAUUUCAACUGA
RNAcentral lists this unclassified non-coding RNA (263 nucleotides) under Melitaea cinxia (Glanville fritillary). RNAcentral describes it as "misc RNA ENSMCXG00005003306.1". The record is from RNAcentral. Lineage: Eukaryota; Metazoa; Arthropoda; Insecta; Lepidoptera; Nymphalidae.